GAUCAUGGCUCAGGAUGAACGCUAGCUACAGGCUUAACACAUGCAAGUCGAGGGGCAGCAUUUUUAUAGCAAUAUAAAAGAUGGCGACCGGCGCACGGGUGAGUAACGCGUAUCCAACCUGCCCAUCACUUGGGAAUAACCUUGCGAAAGUAAGACUAAUGCCCAAUGAUAUCCCACGAAGGCAUCCGAAUGGGAUUAAAGAUUUAUCGGUGAUGGAUGGGGAUGCGU
RNAcentral lists this ribosomal RNA (228 nucleotides) under uncultured bacterium. RNAcentral describes it as "partial 16S ribosomal RNA". It matches the Rfam family "Bacterial small subunit ribosomal RNA", at positions 15 to 236 of the family's 1533-position model. The record is from RNAcentral.